GACGAACGCUGGCGGCGUGCUUAACACAUGCAAGUCGAACGGAAAGGCCCUGCUUUUGUGGGGUGCUCGAGUGGCGAACGGGUGUGUAACACGUGAGUAACCUGCCCUUGACUUUGGGAUAACUUCAGGAAACUGGGGCUAAUACCGGAUAGGAGUCCCCGCCGCAUGGGGGGGGGUGGAAAGUUUUGGCGGUUGGGGAUGGACUCGCGGCUUAUCAGCUUGUUGGUGGGGUAGUGGCUUACCAAGGCUUUGACGGGUAGCCGGCCUGAGAGGGUGACCGGCCACACUGGGACUGAGAUACGGCCCAGACUCCUACGGGAGGCAGCAGUGGGGAAUAUUGCACAAUGGGCGGAAGCCUGAUGCAGCGACGCCGCGUGCGGGAUGACGGCCUUCGGGUUGUAAACCGCUUUCGCCUGUGACGAAGCGUGAGUGACGGUAAUGGGUAAAGAAGCACCGGCUAACUACGUG
This 468-nucleotide ribosomal RNA is filed under the name uncultured bacterium. RNAcentral describes it as "partial 16S ribosomal RNA". It matches the Rfam family "Bacterial small subunit ribosomal RNA", at positions 28 to 507 of the family's 1533-position model. The record is from RNAcentral.